GACGAACCGUGCAAACGUUGUUCGGAUUCACUGGGCUUAAAGGGUGCGUAGGCGGACGGUCAAGUCAGGGGUGAAAUCCUCCCGCUUAACGGGAGAAGUGCCUUUGAUACUGGCCGUCUCGAGGGAGGUAGGGGCAUGUGGAACUUCCGGUGGAGCGGUGAGAUGCGUAGAUAUCGGAAGGAACGCCGGUGGCGAAAGCGACGUGCUGGAUCUCUUCUGACGCUGAGGCACGAAAGCCAGGGUAGCGAACGGG
Molecule: ribosomal RNA, 253 nt
Filed under: uncultured bacterium
Lineage: Bacteria
Description: partial 16S ribosomal RNA
Rfam family: Bacterial small subunit ribosomal RNA
Source: RNAcentral